This 235-nucleotide unclassified non-coding RNA is filed under the name plant metagenome. Its description in RNAcentral is "partial contains small subunit ribosomal RNA and internal transcribed spacer 1". The stretch from base 1 to 46 matches the Rfam family "Eukaryotic small subunit ribosomal RNA", at positions 1786 to 1831 of the family's 1831-position model. The record is from RNAcentral.
AAGUCGUAACAAGGUUUCCGUAGGUGAACCUGCGGAAGGAUCAUUACUGAGAUAGGGUUCAUUCGAGCCCGACCUCCAACCCUUUGUCUACCAAACCUCUGUUGCCUCGGCGGGCCGCCGGCCCCUUUUACAGGGGGCCGCCGUCGGCCUUUGCGCUCUCGAGCGCCCGCCGCAGGACUAUUAAACUCUUUCUGAAAUUAGUAUUCUGAGUGGUAUUUAAUGCUUCAAAAAAAAU